UACAGAGGUCUCAAGCGUUGUUCGGAUUCAUUGGGCGUAAAGGGUGCGUAGGUGGCGCCGUAAGUCAGGUGUGAAAUUUCGGAGCUUAACUCCGAAACUGCAUUUGAUACUGCGGUGCUUGAGGACUGGAGAGGAGGCUGGAAUUUACGGUGUAGCAGUGAAAUGCGUAGAGAUCGUAAGGAAGACCAGUGGCGAAGGCGGGUCUCUGGGCAGUUCCUGACACUGAGGCACGAAGGCCAGGGGAGCAAACGGG
This 253-nucleotide ribosomal RNA is filed under the name uncultured bacterium. RNAcentral's name for it is "partial 16S ribosomal RNA". It matches the Rfam family "Bacterial small subunit ribosomal RNA", at positions 524 to 776 of the family's 1533-position model. The record is from RNAcentral.